CCCCUGCAUGCACCUGCAUCCCAGAUAUGCACCUUCUGAUGGAAAAGGCUCCCCGGACUCCAGCGCUUGCCCAGCUCCCGCGCCCCCUCACGUCCUCGGCCCCCUUUGCUCAUGCUAGGGCUUGCCUAUCAAUCUGCAAUCCUGACUCCUCACACCCCAUGCCCCCAGCUACCCAGCAUCCUAGGGAGGGAGGUGGGCACAGAUAGGAUUUUUUAAAAAUGAUGAUAACAACUAUAAUAUACGCAUAGCCCCACCCACCCGAGACCUACCACGCGCCUGGUGCCGUCUUACAUUUCAGCUUGGUUAGCCAUCCCAGCACCCCUGGGCGGCAGGGAGUACCAUCUCCCAUUCUACAGAUGAGGAGACUGAGGCGCUCCACACAGGGAAGUGGUAGGGCUGCGAUUCGAACCCCGGCCAUCUGUGCAAUGUGGACAUUCACUGCGGGGGGCCCCCUCCCCCCCAGGGGUCCAUGUUGCACAGCGAGUGGUGCAGGGGCUGUAACAGGAGAGCACAGCGCUUUAGAGUUUGUCAAAGGUCUGCAGGGUCAUCUCCUGCGAUCCUCCCUGCCACCUCCUGGGACAGGCGUUCUUGUUUUCUCCCUUUGGUCAGAAUGGGAAACUGAGGCACAAAAUUGGGGAACAGGGAGGACCGAGUCCUGGGCUCGGAGAAGAGAUGGGCUCUACCUGCCAGGAAAGCUGGACUCUGCUCUGGGAGCAGGCUGACCGCAGCGAUGCCCCUGUGUUCCCCAGCCCGGCGUCAUGAGUGUCUGAAAUGAGGAAAUGUCCACUGCCCCGGAUCCGCUGAAGGGAGCGUGUGUGUCCAGAUGAGGAAACUGAGUUCACUGAAGUUACACGAUACACACACGGUUGGACAACUGGUAAGUGCUGGUCCUAGGGCUUGAACCCAGGCCGAUGAGGUUCCCAGGACCUGCCAAGUACAUGUGGCAAAACACAAAAUACAGGCCUGCCCCGCAAGCACUCAGUAACUGUCAUUCUUAAGCUCCCUCCCAGUGCCCAGCGUAGCAACAGAACCUCAGGCUCGGCAGACGUGGAUUCGGGUAUUUAUUCUAAGAAAUCCAUCUUCUUACAUGAGCGGUGGGCAGCAGGCUCUAGGGCUCCGGUAGCCAGCCCCCUCCCUUCAGGCAGCUAAAGCGACAGCACCCCCAGAGCGGACCAUAGA
Molecule: long non-coding RNA, 1179 nt
Organism: Canis lupus familiaris (dog)
Lineage: Eukaryota; Metazoa; Chordata; Mammalia; Carnivora; Canidae
Exons: 3
Source: RefSeq, a predicted model, not a curated record